AAGACAAAAAUCAACCCCCAAACCCUAAUCUCUUCACAACAGCCCUCACCCCUCUUCUCCCAUCUCUCCUCUUUCUCUCUCUAUCUCCCUCAUUUCUCAAAAACCCUACGAUAAAAUCAUCAACGCUGCCUUUCCCAUCAUCGGUCGUCCCUCUCCUCCACUAGUGCCUCCUCUGUUGCCCUUUCCUUGCUAGCACCACCGCUGCACCAGCCAUGGUCGCCGACCUCACCUCCACUGCCAGCCACUGGCGAAGCCACCCCUCCAGCCGCCGCGUCGUCAUAUCCACCAUCCACCGCCAACAGCCUGCCCCACGCCGUCGAAACAGAUCCAAGACCCCGACCGAACCAGCCCCAUCGUCAACCCCUCUCCCUCUCUGUCAGAUGGAACCUAAUUACAGUUGGAUAGAUCAACACAAAAUAUUGAUAGUAGAAUGGGUGAGGCUGAGAAUGAAGAUGUGGAUUUGUUGUUUUUAGUCUUUUGUAUGUUUUAUAGUUUGGAUUUGUAACCUCAAUAAAUUUUAUAAAUAAUUUGAUUUUUAAUGUUUGUAUUCUUAUGGUGGUUGGUUGAUUGUAUAUUAAAUGAUUGGUGGGCUA
Long non-coding RNA from Capsicum annuum, 593 nucleotides. RefSeq lists it as uncharacterized. Lineage: Eukaryota; Viridiplantae; Streptophyta; Magnoliopsida; Solanales; Solanaceae. The record is from RefSeq and is a predicted model, not a curated record. The transcript has 2 exons.